GACGAACGCUGGCGGCGUGCUUAACACAUGCAAGUCGAACGGAAAGGCCCUGCUUUUGUGGGGUGCUCGAGUGGCGAACGGGUGAGUAACACGUGAGUAACCUGCCCUUGACUUUGGGAUAACUUCAGGAAACUGGGUCUAAUACCGGAUAUGAGCUCCUGCUGCAUGGUGGGGGUUGGAAAGUUUCGGCGGUUGGGGAUGGACUCGCGGCUUAUCAGCUUGUUGGUGGGGUAGUGGCUUACCAAGGCUUUGACGGGUAGCCGGCCUGAGAGGGUGACCGGCCACAUUGGGACUGAGAUACGGACCAGACUCCUACGGGAGGCAGCAGUGGGGAAUAUUGCACAAUGGGCGGAAGCCUGAUGCAGCAACGCCGCGUGCGGGAUGACGGCCUUCGGGUUGUAAACCGCUUCCGCCUGUGACGAAGCGUGAGUGACGGUAAUGGGUAAAGAAGCACCGGCUAACUACGUG
Molecule: ribosomal RNA, 468 nt
Filed under: uncultured bacterium
Lineage: Bacteria
Description: partial 16S ribosomal RNA
Rfam family: Bacterial small subunit ribosomal RNA
Source: RNAcentral